RNAcentral lists this ribosomal RNA (497 nucleotides) under uncultured bacterium. RNAcentral describes it as "partial 16S ribosomal RNA". It matches the Rfam family "Bacterial small subunit ribosomal RNA", at positions 28 to 507 of the family's 1533-position model. The record is from RNAcentral.
GAUGAACGCUGGCGGCGUGCCUAAUACAUGCCAGUCGAGCGAACAGACGAUGCGCUUGCUCCUCUGACGUUAGCGGCGGACGGGUGAGUCACACGUGGAUAAUCCACCUAUAAUACGGGGAUAAUCUCGGGAAACCGGAGCUAAUACCGGAUAAUAUACUGAACCGUAUGGGGCAAUAGUGAAAGUCGGCUUUGGGGUCACUUAUAGCUGGUUCCGCGCCGUAUUAGCUAGUUGGUAAGGUAAAGGCUUACCAAGGCGACGAUGCGUAGCCGACCUGAGAGGGUGAUAGCCCACACUGGAGCGGGGACGCGGUCCAGACUCCUACGGGAGGCAGCAGUAGGGAAUCUUCCGCAAUGGGCGGAAGCCUGACGGAGCGACGCCGCGUGAGUGAUGAAGGUCUUCGGAUCGUGAAGCUCUGUUAUUGGGGAAGAACAGCUGUGUAAGUAACUAUGCACGGCUUGACGGUACCUAAUCAGAAAGCCCCGGCUAACUACGUG